GUGAAACAGUCUCAAAAGAAAAAAUUAAUUGACAAACAUUGUGUAUAUUCAAGGUAUACAACGUGAUUAUUUGAUAGACGUGUAAUGAGUUAUCACAACAAGCAAAUGGUACACAAUAUAGUUUCGGAGGGUUUAUGUAUAAGGGGACUAAUUAGAAAGGUUUGGAAAUGGUGUAGGAGAACCAAAGGGCUAGUGCCCAAGGGCAAGGGAAGGGAGUGGUUACCUGAAACUGGAAGAAAAGAUAGUUUUGUAGAGCAUCUGCUUUGAGAGCAGCAGUGACUUUUAUCAAGAGAUAGAGUUACCUUGAUGCCACAUCACGGGGUGAUCCAGGAGAAUGAAUACGCCGAUUUCUGUCCUCCCUUCCUCUACUCUUCCAUCAGGCUGUACCCAACAGAGCCCAUUUGAUGUAGUCCAAACAGACAGACUUUCAGGGGCAGCAAGUGAGGUGGAGAAAGAUGGGAAAUACUAAUAGAAGGGCAGUUGGAAAAUAUGUUUAGUCUGCCUUUUUGCCCCUUAUCAUCCUCUCUUGUCCUUAAUAUAGGUGAAAUUUCAUGUCCUUAACACAAGAGAUGCCUAGAGUCCCAUCAACUAUUUUAUCAUUAUGGGGUGAUAACCAUUUGUUCGUGCU
Molecule: long non-coding RNA, 628 nt
Filed under: Homo sapiens (human)
Lineage: Eukaryota; Metazoa; Chordata; Mammalia; Primates; Hominidae
Description: LHRI_LNC364.1
Source: RNAcentral